RNAcentral lists this long non-coding RNA (2277 nucleotides) under Sorghum bicolor (sorghum). Its description in RNAcentral is "long non-coding RNA (SBIC_LNC007454)". Lineage: Eukaryota; Viridiplantae; Streptophyta; Magnoliopsida; Poales; Poaceae. The record is from RNAcentral.
GGCGAGGCCGGAGGGGUCGGGGCCCCCAGGGCUCUCGCACGAGUCGCGCCCGCGUUCCGAGGAGGCGCGGCGUGGGCGCGCCCCGUUCUCUGGCGCACCAGCGCGGGCCGGUGGCUGCGGCUUGUCUAGGCGCCCGUACCUGCCGUUCUAGCUGUAUGCUGUGCACACCUGCAAUCUUUCUGUGCGUCUGCCGCGGUGCCGGACUCGUGUCCUUGAAAAACAAAUCCAAAAACUUUUCAAGAUUUCUCGUCACAUCAAAUCUUUAGACACAUGUAUAGAGUAUUAAAUAUAAACGAAAAUAAAAACUAAUUGCACAGUUUGGUCAGACAAAUCUUUUAAGCCUAAUUAGCCUAUGAUUGGACAAUAAUUAACACAAACAAACGAAAGUGCUACGGUGUAGCGAAUUUUUUUUUGCCACGGAACUAAACAAGGCCGAAGGGAUUUUCGACCAUGCCUGGUCACACUUAUCGAGGUUUGUCUGCGUGAAUUUCGCUCUCGGCUCUUUGUGACGCCAUCUUUUGUGAAUUAUUGGUGUAUACAGUGAAUGAAUGGAGUGGUCUUUGUCAAAAUGAUACAGUUUACAAUUCGUCUGCUUUGGUCCAUCCGUGGAGUGGAGGUGUGGUUUUGGCCUUUUGGGAGGUCGCUCGCCAUACGAUUUUGGAACUGAGCCACUGCCCAUUGGUGGUGUGCUUCCGAUCCAGGCGCUCACUCCCGAGUCCCAAGUCAAAACGCACAGACACAGAGCCUCCUCGAGAUCUGUAAAGAUGCGUUUUGGACGGCUGAAAUUUAUACAAACAUGCACACGCGACCUCUGCACUGGACCGGGAAAUUCCCCCAGAUCGUACGGCUGCUUUUCGCGGCGAACGCGAGGUGAGAAAGAAAGCAGCGGCUUGACUCUUCUGCCUACGUGGUGGCCACCUAUGUAACUCACUUUUACACGUGUGCUUUUCUUUUCUCGUGUGAGUCUCAGUUUCAGCUUGUUGGCUUGAAUUUAUCUGUCAAAUUUAUCAAUUAUUUAGUAUUAUUUUUUUAUUUUGUAAUAAAUAAGUGUAUACUAUUUUUAGGCAUGACUUUUUAUCCAAGUGAAUAGGUUGUUCCAAAAUUCAAAACUGGACCUAGACUUUUCCUUAUUCUUUCUACAUUCACUGCAUGAACAAAUCUUUGCUACUCGAUUUGGAUGUUUGGUAGAGAUUUUUUUUCUUCCUUCUUUUGUUAAAAAUUGUUUGGCAGAGAUUCGACGAAUGCUUAUGAAGCUGAGCACAAAACCUCACUGCUCCUCGUGUGAACCUUUGGAACACCCAGUGAGACAACCGAUUGGCGUAUGAUGAAACCGAAGAAGUAGCUCCCACUAGUUUCCUGGACUUGCCUACGAGUCAAGAUACAUUUUUACCUGCCUCACCAGUGCUACUAGCGAUGGAGGCACCUUAAGCGUGCUAGGGUUGGUCAAAAGCAAGGGAAGAAGAAAGACGGAGCCGAUAAGUCAUACAUGCGAUGAAGAUAAGGUGUAGAAAAAAAAGAAAAAAACAAAGGAAUAGGAAAGAAGAAAGAUGGAGCCGAGGAAUUGUGCGUGUGACGAAGAAGAUAAGGUUGAGAGGAAGAUGAGAAAAUGAAGGAAGACAAUAAAAAUAGUAAAAAUUAAAAUGUAUUUUUGAAAUCUUUUCGUUUUCAACUAUCGAAGAAAUUGCUUUACUAGAUAUUGUCCUAAAACAGUUUUAGCUUCAUUGGUGAAGUCUUCACCGGUCGAAACAAAAAAAUCAGUCUAUCGGUGAAGCAGGCUUUGCUAAACCAAGCCUAAGGGUAUGUUUGGUUCAUAGCCCACGCGAGCCAUCUAAGUUGUGGCACUGCCGAAGGGAGGGGCGUGGGAAAUGGCCGCCACAGGUGUAGCUGAAAUAAGUAUGCAAAUGAACUAGGAAAAAGUAUGGCCGCUACAACUUAUGCAUUAACCAAACAACAACCAAACUAUUGUGGCAACCACAUGCAUGGAGAGGCAAUGUACAACUGAUGACAGGACAAAAACUUUCACACUCAUCUACUCAUCCUGGGAGUCUUGGGACCGUACCUGACAUGUUGUCAAGAGGGCUCGGCUCACUUAGGCCUUCUUUAGUUCACUCCAAAAAGUAAAAACUUUUUAAGGAUUUUUUCAUAUCAAAUCUUGUGGCAAAUGCAUAGAGCAUUAAAUAUAGAUAAAAAUAAAAAUUAAUUGUACAAUUUACGUGUAAAUUGUGAGAUGAAUCUUUUGAGCCUAGUUACUCUAUGAUUGGACAAUGUUUAUCAAAU